Long non-coding RNA from Labeo rohita (rohu), 148 nucleotides. RefSeq lists it as uncharacterized. NCBI's taxonomy places the organism in Eukaryota, Metazoa, Chordata, Actinopteri, Cypriniformes, Cyprinidae. The record is from RefSeq and is a predicted model, not a curated record. The transcript is spliced from 3 exons.
AAUUAAAUUUACUUACAAUUCACCUCUCUGAUUGUUUUUCAGAGUUUAAACCUGUCAGCGGCUCUGACGAUGGUUCAAACAGCUCAGCUCAUGUUCCACAGACAUAAAGAUCAUUUUAGGAGAUCAGAUGAGUGAGAGAUGAAGACAG